RNAcentral lists this long non-coding RNA (1238 nucleotides) under Homo sapiens (human). Its description in RNAcentral is "HSALNT0236525". Lineage: Eukaryota; Metazoa; Chordata; Mammalia; Primates; Hominidae. The record is from RNAcentral.
GUGACUCAGACGGGAGUGGGGUUUGUGAGUGGGCUCCAGCCACACACGACUUCGUGCCUGUGACGUUGGCUCCUCCAUCCGCCUCUUUCCUGGAGUGCAGCCUGAGUCACAGCUCGAAACUUCUCCCACCUUCUCCGGGUGGAGGGGGCUUCCCCAGUCUUGGGGUGCGCACCUCAGGCAACGACCCAUCCCUCACUCCCCUGUGCUGGGACUGCAUGGGAAGCUGGACUACACUCCUCAGCCUCCCUUGAAGUUGCAGUGAACUUAUGAUGGUUUGUUCUAACCACCGUAAUAUCAACUGACGUUUAUCUACAAGGAUUUUUAUCAGGGUUGUUUGAAACCAGGGGUCAGCAAAAUUGUUUCGUGACCAGUCAAGUAUGCACAGAAUCAUCUGAGCACCUGACUCAGAGGUCAUGAAAUGCUUUCCUUCACCUGGAUGCAUGAAAAGUAGACAGGUACUGCUGACUCUGAACUGAAGAUCAAGCUGAUGGGCUCUGACUAUGGGAGGUUUCUUCAGCAGAAUAAAUUCACUGAUGCAAGUUUCAGGAGUUUGUCUGCAAGGGCAUUGGGCUAUCUGUUGAUGACCUGGGUAUGUCUGUAUGCAUUGGAGUAAGUGUGCAGUGACCAGAAAGAGCGUGCAUGGAAAAGUGAGUGUGUUUAUUCUGCCAAGGGAUGGUGCCAUUAACAAUCACCAAGGCAGCAAAGUAGGUUUGCAGCCAAUGGCUGCUGACGUUAGUCACCUUCUUAGCCUUCACAACCCACUAACUCAGGCAGCUGUCUUUCCAGUCCAUCCUAGCACACUCAGGGGUCACCUGUCUUGACACUACUCCUCACCAUGUUUCCACAUUCCCCACAAGGCAGGGAGCACACCUGCUCCCAUUGGGCACCCACAGGCAAUACCGUGUGCAGCAGCCCAUUAGAGUAUCAGUUUUCUGGCUAUUCUUUGGAGCUGCUGGAUCCAAUAUGUUUCCCCAUAUGCUUGAACCUUUUUGCAAUUCUUCCAUCUGUUUCUGGGAAAUGUGAAGGAAUUUAAUGAUCUUUUCUGGGGUUAUUAAACCGACAGCUGUUGUCAUUAAUAGAGGACAUUCUUUACUGCAGCGAAUAAAUGCUAGUCAUAACUCCAGCCUGUCUUAUGCACUCUCAUUAAUGACUACAGAGUUUGUCUCAAGACUGGGGUGAUGAACAUGGGGGGUUCUGAUGCCAGCUUUGGAGAUGAUUCAUCUUCAAAGUGUGAACAC